UACGAAGGGUGCAAGCGUUAAUCGGAAUUACUGGGCGUAAAGGGUGCGUAGGCGGUUUGUUAAGUCUGUUGUGAAAUCCCCGGGCUCAACCGGGGAGGGCCCCAGGAAACCGGCGGGCUAGAGGGCUGGAGAGGGCCGCGGAAUUCCCGGUGUAGCGGUGAAAUGCGUAGAUAUCGGGAAGAACACCAGUGGCGAAGGCGGCGGCCUGGACAGAACCUGACGCUGAGGCACGAAAGCUGGGGGAGCGAACAGG
Molecule: ribosomal RNA, 253 nt
Filed under: uncultured bacterium
Lineage: Bacteria
Description: partial 16S ribosomal RNA
Rfam family: Bacterial small subunit ribosomal RNA
Source: RNAcentral